Molecule: ribosomal RNA, 487 nt
Filed under: uncultured bacterium
Lineage: Bacteria
Description: bacterial SSU rRNA
Rfam family: Bacterial small subunit ribosomal RNA
Source: RNAcentral
AUUGAACGCUGGCGGCGUGCCUAACACAUGCAAGUCGAGCGGCAGCGCGGGAGCAAUCCUGGCGGCGAGCGGCGGACGGGUGAGUAACGCUUGGGAAUCUGCCUGUUAGUGGGGACAACCCGGGGAAACGUCGGGCUAAUACCGCAUACGCACUACGGUGGAAAGCCGGGGACCGCAAGGCCUGGCGCUAACAGAUGAGCCCAAGUCGGAUUAGCUAGUUGGUAGGGUAACGGCCUACCAAGGCGACGAUCCGUAACUGGUCUGAGAGGACGACCAGUCACACCGGAACUGAGACACGGUCCGGACUCCUACGGGAGGCAGCAGUGGGGAAUAUUGGACAAUAGGGGGAAACCCGUGAUCCAGCGACGCCGCGUGGGUGAAGAAGGCCUGCGGGUUGUAAAGCCCUUUCAGUGGGGGAAGAAAAGCCUCGACCUAACACGUCGGGGUCUUGACGUAACCCAUAGAAGAAGCACCGGCUAACUCUGUG